Molecule: long non-coding RNA, 4321 nt
Filed under: Heterocephalus glaber (naked mole-rat)
Lineage: Eukaryota; Metazoa; Chordata; Mammalia; Rodentia; Bathyergidae
Description: lncRNA (ENSHGLG00000034736.1)
Source: RNAcentral
GCGCGUGUGUGCGUGUGCGCGCGUCUACAGGUAGCAGCGGCGGCGGGGACCCGAGCAGGGGACGCUUCGGCAGCUACCUCCCGCCUGUGAUUUUUCGGAGGCGAUUGCUCACUUAGCUGACGGAUCUGUAGCCCCGGGAGAUCUCGUCCUCUCCAUUUCCACGCUGUUUAGGCGUCUUCCGUUUCAAGUGUGUGUUUGGGGUAUUUUUUUUUUUCUUUUAGAUGUUUUUCGUCUCCCACUAAAUCUUCUCGGGAAUACUGCAUAUCGAAGCAGGUGGUUCCUGGUACGAAAUCUUUGGAUACAUUUUAUUUGCCAAGUUUUGCUUCUCCCUAUCCCCUCCCGCUUUGAGAGGCAUCCUUGGUGCUUUUCUUUCGGAUUUACAUGCAGAAAACGUAUCUAUGUUUAUAUGCCGACCGGAUAAUUUAUAAGUACGUACAUAUACGCGUGCCCAAGCACCUGGCUUUCGUCUCCUUCCCGACCAGGAGGAAUGUUUUGGAGCCCAUGGAUAAGGAGCACAGUAUUAACAUUCUUCUAAGGCUGUUUUUCAAAAAGGGGAGGGAGCGUGAAGAAUUGUUUAACAUUCGGCCGCCGUUUGGCUGCACACUAAGCACCACGAAGUAUUUAUGGUUGCAGAUCAGGUGCAAACGGGGCUUACAGAGAAAGGUAAGGGAGCUUCCUGCGUCCACCCGUCCCGACGUUUAUCUUAAUUCCCGGGAUUACCGAAAACUUCCUUCCUACUCCUUGCCUGACCCUGGCCUCCCCCAGCUCCCCCACCCCUGCCCGCGGUCUCUCCGGUUCGCUUAACCCUUGUCCAGUUCCUUUGGGCUGAGAAUGGUAGUGGUGGCGUCGACAGUACUGGAGGUGGAAUCGUCUGUUUGAGUUUAAAUGCGUCUCUCUUUUUUUCCCCUUUGAGUAACUGAGUUUUCCAAUCCCCCUUUUUAGCAGUCUCAAGAAAUGUUAUUUUGUCCUUAAAAAAAAAACAACCCGUUACGUAGAUAACUGCUUUAACCAUGUAUUGGUGCCAACUCCUCACCGGUGUCCUCUGGAAAAAUAAUAAAAGCAAUAAAAAUGAUGAACUUUAAUGAGCUGGGUGGUUUCUUCAGUACUGAGGGACAUGGAACCUCUCAAAUGAUUCUUUUCAUUAAAAAAAAAGAAAAAAAGAAAAAAGAAAAAAGAAAGAAAAACCGGGGAAAAAAACCCAAAUCAAUACCACGGGAGGAGGCCACAGUGAAGGAAAUUCGGCUUCCAUUUCUGCAUAAAGCAAUUCAUUUCACUUGGAGGGUAAUUCGCCAGAGUUUCGAGAGAUGAAGCGAAGUCUCCCGUGGGAGAACCUACAGCACUUAAUUCCUGCUCAAAUGCAUCCUUUUCCUCUACGACGAGUGAGUCCUUGUUUAUCUCCCCAUCCAGGGGCACAUUUUCUGAGCUCAUCUCUUCGGAGAGAGGUGCGAUCUUCCUCUCGGGGUUUCUUCUCUCCACCCAGCCUCCCUCCUUCCCCGCUGGGCUCCUCCAGCCCCGGCAGUUUGUAAACUGCCCGCUGUGCCACCCCUCCCGGUAGGCGUUCUCGCUGCUGCUCUCCACUCCGACCCCCGCUGUCCUUUCUUCAUUGGCGCUUUCGGAGCAGAUGCAUCUUUUUUCCUUGGGCUCCCUCUCCCGCCUCCUCCCCUCCCCACACGCCCCGCGGCUCCCCACCUGCCCUGCUCCCCUGGCUGCUGCCCACCCUCAAUUCCCGUCCCAGCCUGCAGGCCGGCGGGGGGCGCAGAGUCUGGGGGCCCAGGACCCCGCCGCCGGAGCCGAGCCGGUGCCCGGAGACCCGGCGGGAAGGGCGAGCCGGAGCGGGGCUCGAGGCCGGAGCCCGUCGGAGCCAGGGAGACCCGGAGAGCGGAGGGAAAGAGUGGAGUGCCAGGCGCGCGCUGGCCGGGCCCGGCGGACGGGUGCAGUGGUUUCCAAAUCCUUAGAGCGGCGCCCCGUCACUGUCACUGCAGCUUUUCACCCUAGAGCUGUGCCCUGGGACCGGAGACCCCGAGCUGGGAGAUCGUCUGAGAGGUAUCCUAGAAAGAAAGAACAGAUUACUAGCGUGCGGGGAGGGCUUCCUGGCAAAACGCGAGGCUGAGCAGAUGGAGGAACAAUGCCGCCUCCAGAAGCGAAGCCUCGCCUGAGCCCUUGAGAGCGCGGAGCAGCCGCGGCCAGCCUCCUGCUCUCUCCCCAGGCCCUCCGGCUCCAUCUCGGGUGGCUUCCGCCUCGUAGUUUGACAGAAAUAAGAAAGUUGCUCUUCUUCUCCACAACGUCUCCUGCGAGGUGCUUUUCAGAUCCGCGUGGUUCCAGUCAAGAUGUCACUUUUAGAUCCCCCGCGUUGAGCAACUAAUACAUUAUGCAGUAUUGGGCAAUAAACUCUCCCGGGAAGAGAAGGUAGUCCAAACAUUUAAACUGCUCUCCACUGACUCCUGUCUGCCUCAGGACAAUGCCUUAACUGUGUACAUCUUGAACCAGGAGAGAUCCCGGUAGAUGACCAAUCAGACGUUGGAGGGGUGAGUAGAGAAACCUCUCAAUUAGCUAACAGUGACACAGGACUUGUCUGAGAAAGGGAAUUUAUAAGAAAAGUUAUAAAUUUAGUUUUAGCAAAAUUUGAUGUAAAGGCUACAUUUUUAAUGAAAAUAUCAAAUGGGUGGUUAGAAAUGUCUGACAAGCUUAGGGAAAGAGUAAAUCUGAAUUCAUAGAAAUGAGUGCUGUAGAUUAGAAGUGAGAGAUGAAGCCAUCCUUUUAAAAAAGGAAAUCACAAAGAAAUAAGCUCAGAGAUGAAUGCUAAUCUUUGUAUGAAUCCUAUUAUUAGACUGAGAGACAAAGAAAAGAGUGACCUUAAAAUGGUAAGGAAAACUACAGUUGAACAUGCAAUAAAAAUUCCUCCAAGGUCUGGUAAAAAAGAAGUUUGAAGGAAAAAUGAUUCUAUUAAUAUUGGGAAAUAGUCCAGAAAAGGUUGAAAGAUAAAGAUAAAGUGAUGAUACAUAGGUAACCUGAGAAAAAAGCUUCAUCUUGGGGUUGCCUAUUUAAAAUGUGACAUUUAUUCACUGCACGAUUAUGUUGUACAGGUACUGUUGUGGGCACUUGUUAUGUAUCACUAAACAAUUUAAAACAAGAUAUCUGCACUGUGAAGCCUGAUAGUUUUUGAAUAUUUGACAACCUCCUGCUCUGGCCUAAUUAAAUACUAUUAGAAAAAACAAACUGCUAUGUUAUCUGCAGUAAUGUGCUGGUAAUCUCUCUGAUUAGGAAAAAAUAAAAACAUAAAAGGCUUAAUCUAAAGUUUGAGAACAUCCUAGAUGUAAGUAUUUGCACCAUAUCCCAUUCCUACCUGCUAUCAUGUUUCCUCUAAGACAGAUUUGGGAAAAAGUUGCAGAAAAGGACUGAGAUACAGUUUAAGUCAGCCAUGGUAAGACACUUGUACUGGAAUAGCUUGUUUUAUAUUUAGGUCUCCUAACAUAAUUCUGACUAUAAUUAAUUUAUCUGUAAAAUGAAGAAAUACUUUUUCAAUUUUUAUUAGAAAGGAAUUUAUUUUUAAUAGGCUUGGUGGGACCUAAACACAAGAAAUGCAAGUUAUCAAAUUCAUCAUCAUACAUCUUAGAUAUUUGUAUGUGAAAAUGAUAUUAAAUUUAGGGCGGGGAUUUAGCUCAGUGGUUCCACUGCCUGCCUUGUAGCGCAAGGUCCCAAGUUCGAUUCCUGGUACCAAAAAAAUAAAAAGAUAUUAAAUUUAGAAUUGAAAAACCAUAGACAAUUAAAAAAUAAGGUCAUAGAUGGAAGUCAACUUUUAAAAAUCCUGUAAUAACACCUUACUUGUGUAACAGCAUCAGGGAAUGAGCCAUUCCCCACAAGUGAAUUUUCCUAAAAAAAUCCACAAGUUUAAGCAUGAACAAUUUUUCAUUUUAAUAAGCUUAUACAGAAACUGUUCAUAAAUGUAUUAGAAUAUUUCUUGCUUGCUUUAUGCUUAUCACAUGAAUUCUGACUUUAAAAAUAAUUUACAAGCAUUUUAUAUAACAUUUUGAAAAUACAGACAGAAAGGAGCAAGCACAAAACAAUGUAUUUCUAAUCUCAUUAUCUAGAAAUAAUGUUGGCUUCUUCCUUCCUUUCUUUCUUGCCUUUUUUCUUUCUUUCUCCUUUCCUUCCAUCCUUCCUUCUUUAUCUGCCAAUAUAUAUUUUUUUCAUUAAGUUUCUUGGUACAUUUUAGGUAUACAAUUAGUUACAUUCAUCAUUGGGAACUUGUACCUUUACAUGAUGUAUCUUGGUUCUUAUGUUUUCCGCAUUACCCUGCUGCCAAUAUAUUUUUAAAAACUGA